GCCACCGCACUAGGCCAGUAGUCUUGACAUCUACUGCAAUAGUCCUAUAUAAAAUUUUUCUACCAAUUGAAAAAAAUCUCAGAAUUUUUUUUUCUUUAACAUACAUCUGUUUUUUUUUUCUUCUGCCAAAUAUAGAAUGCUUAGGUCAAACCCAUCAUAGGAAUUCUCAUACUCUUUGAAACAUGGUAUGGAAAUAAAUGAAAUACGUCCAUUCAAUAUUUGUGUCCUGAGUGGCAUAUCUGUGAAAGGUCCCAUGUGUACUCAUCACUUGGGAAUACAAACACCUUCAAGCUUGUGGACAUAAGAAAAUAAUACACAAAAAAAUAAAAAGCAUGAAGAAGAGAUCACAUAGACUCAAUAUCAGUAAAGAUUUUAUGAAGAAUUGGGAGAAUGUAUAGGAUAACAAAAGGGAGAGGUAGAGUAGAUUUCGCACAAAAAAUAAAAUUGCAGUGAUUCAAAACUGAGAUAUGUGAGUAGUAGAAUUUAACUAAAAUAUAGAAUUAGUGGGUGUUGGCGAUGGCACAUAAGAUCAAAAAGGUACAGCAUGCCUUUGCAAUAGAAUACACUGGAUGACUACAUGAGGAAUAUACCUCUGUCUCAGAGAAGAGUGGAUUUGAAUAUAAUAGAUAAGAUGUAAAUCUCUGUCAGUUACCGAAACAUUCCAGAAUUUCAUCUUUGUGCAUCUCAGUUUCCUCAUUCAUAGCAAAACCAAGUAUUUUCAAAGUUUAUUUCUGUGGUAAAACAAUAUGGUAAUGAUUGUGAGGUGCUUUGUAAAUUGCAAAACAUUAUUAUGCAACUGUAAAGGAUUAUUACUUCUUAAUUCACCAGGGAGCUCUUGAAGAAUUUUGAGAUGCUAAAGAGUAUAAUCUUAACCUUAUUUUAGAAAUCCAAGUUAUCUCCCUCUAACUUCGUCCAUUUAUUGGUCAAAGUUAGAGGGAGAUAGCACGGGAAUAAACAAGUCUAUUAUGUUGGUUCAAAUGAAAGAUAAGGAGAUUUGAAACACAGCUACAUGCAGCAUGGAGACAGAUUGUAUUGAAUGUAAGCAACUGAUUAGAAAUGAAACCAAAAGGAGAGAAAAAAAAAAUGACUCCAGGUUCCAACUUUGAUGAGAAUGUUGUCAUUAACAGAGAGAGAAACCCAUGAGAGAAAGGAUUUAGAAGAAAGAUAAUGAGUUUGACUUUGAAAGUACAGAUCUAAGGAUGUCACUGAGUUACAUAGGUAAAAAUGCCCAACAGAUACUUGAAAAUAAAGCCCAGGAGAGGACUCUGGGAUAUAGAUUUGAGAGUCAUUUAUUAGGCAUUUCUGGAAAGAUGAAUAAUAAUGUUUUGCAAUUUACAAAGCACCUCACAACCAUUAUCAUAUUGUUUUACCACAGAAAUAAACUUUGAAAAUAUUUGGUUUUGCUAUGAAUGAGGAAACAGAUGCACAAAGAUGAAAUUCUGGAAAGGUAAAAUUCAAAUGAUUAAUCAUUUAUUAGUAUCAGUUGACACAAUAGAAAUGAAUAUAGACAGUUGAAGGAUGAUGAGAAGAGGGCCUCAAUGAAGUGUGUGCAGUGAAGAGUUUGGCCUCACCCAAAUAUAAGUCUGGAGUUUGUCCUCAGCUGCUAGAUGGCAGCCUCUAAACACUUAGAAUUUUCAGAGUUAUGGAAAUAUCUUCAUUAUCUAAGGUGGACCCCUGAAACUAUACCUAUUUUAUGCUAAUAAGAUGAUUCUUGGUGAGGAUUAUCACACUCAGUAGUCUUAGAGUGGGGCCUGGCCACACCAUAAAGACCAACCAUAUAGUUUAGGAUAGCAACUAUGAACCACAUUAUAUCAUCUUAAUCUAAAAGUUGGUGGGGAGCUGCAGAUGGAGUUCAAAUAUGUAGGUAAUUAAUUAAUUAAUCAUGCCUAAAUAUGAAGCCUCAAUAAACUCUCUGGACAGCUCAGCUCAGCUCAGCCGAGCUUCUCUGGUUAGCAGUCCUCCAUGUGUAUGGUCACAUAUUGAUGCUGGAAAACAACAGAAGCUUUGCCUUUGGAACCCUCCCAGACUCUGACUUUGGUGUCUCUUCCUUUGGCUGGUUCUAAUUUGUAAUCUUUCUUUGUAAUAAGCAUGACUGUGAGCAUAAUAGCUUUCAAUGAGUUCUGUGAGUCUCCCUAGUGAAUUGUCAAACUUGAGAGUGGUUUUGGGAAAUCCCUGUACUUACAGUUGGGAUCAUAAGUCUUGGGAAACUUGUCUGUCCAGAGGACACUGCCCUAAAGCACUCAGUUUGGCCUACUUGGAAUAGAGUUUUUUGAGCAAAGUAACUAGUAAAAGAGGAAGGAAGAUAACAUUUAGGUAAGAAAACAUCAAGGAGAAGGCCAACCAAACUCAUAUAUAAAAGGUAUGAAAAGGUUUGUUACUAGUUUAAGUAUGACAGAGAAGGAAAGUUUAAGGAAUAAAAAGAAGAACAAAGUGAAGGAGAAGAAUAUAGCUUUUGAAUUUAGCAGAGUAAAGAUGGUUUCUGACUUACAAUGACUUGCCUUACAAUUUUUUGACUUUACAAUGGUACAAAAGUGAUAUGUAUUCAGUAGAAACUACUACAAGUGAUUCAUACAACCAUUUUGUUUUCACUUUCAGUAGAGUGUCCAAUAAAAUACAUGAGAUAUUCAACACUUUAUUAUAACAUAGGCCUUGUGAUAGAUAAUUUUGCCCAACUAUAGGUUACUAUAAGUGUGCUAAGCACACUUAAGGUAGGCUAGACUAAGUCCAGACAUUUGGUAGGUUAGGUGUUCUCUUUUCUCUGCAACCUCAACGAUGUCUGUUAUUUCUUGAUCUUUUAAUAACAGCCACUCUGUCUGGUCUGAGAUAGUAUCUCAUUGUGGUUUUGAUUCACAUUUCUCUAAUGAUUAGUGAUGUUGAGCAUUUUUUCAUAUGUACAAGGGCUACAGAAUCAGUCUUACCCCAAACCUCAGUGUCAGGCAAUUUACCCAUGUAACAAACUUACACGUGUACCCCUGAAUCUAAAAUAAGAGUUAAAAUAAUUUUUAAAAAGAAUAAUAGUAGUCAAGAAUGCCUCCAGGUUACCUCCACCUUCACUCUAUUCCCAAACACUUAACUCUGUUUUCAGCAUAAUUUCAGAGCAUUCUUACAAGACUUUGUGGGAAUUACUUAGCAGUUACUCAAAGACCACUCAGAAGACAUUUGCUGAUGAAAAUGAGGUUUGUCUUCCAAAUAUCACCACUUUAAUGAGAAGUAUAAUUGUUUAAAGGCCAGAAGAACAGGGUUCUGGUAUUCAUUUUGGGAUAACUGGGAGUUGAAUAAAAGUAAAGCAAAAUGUUGAUUUACUCUUUAUCUUUCUUACUCUCUGACAGAUGAAAAUGCCAGAGGAUGUAGUGAAUUGUAUUAACCAAAAAUAAAACCAAUUCCUUCUCGAGUUUAAUUCCAGAAUAUAAUGUCAUCCUUCCCUGAACACCACUUUUCUCAAGGAGCAGAAAUGCUCAACUGUGUUACAGUGGAACUUCAUCCAAGAUCAUCUUCUAUUAAGCUUUACAAAUUGCUUCAAAAAGCAGUGGGUAACCAUGCUAGUUGUGUGUAAAAUAUUUAAAAUAACUUAUCUUCGAGUGUUGUUGGGGCUGCAGAUUUGGAAUUUGGCAGAUCGUCUGUGUUUAGUGCUGAGCUAUUUUGGGAUUUCUUCAAACUUGAGCAAUAAAUAAGCUUCAAAUGAAAUAGGCUUUCGAUGUGACAGUGUUUACAGGAAACAUUAUGCUGUUACGAACUUCCCUUAGAAUCAACCCAUUUGUGAAACACCACAUUAAUAAGAGCAGUAUCUUUGGAGAUUGGAGAGUCCACCAAGGAUGCCCACUGGCUCCCUACAAAGUUUUUUAUGUGAGGACUCGGUCUCAGAUAUGGCUACUGGGAUUCUGUUCAAACUGAGUGAAGACAUCAUCAUCUUUCUUUGAGAUCUUCCUUGCUUUCUGGCCAAAGAAGUUAUUCCCUGACCCGACUUUCCAAAGAGUACUAGUUCCUUUUAGCAGUGAUUAGAAACCUGAUCUGAGUACUACUGUGUGUGCUUGUGACUAGUGUGGUUUUAUUGUUUCUAUGUCCUUUCAGCGAGCAGAUCUACAAUGAGGGAUACAUCUAAACAAAACUCCAUAUUAAUAAGUCCAGUUGAAAUCUAACAACAUAGGGUUCUUUCGCAUUCUCUUGCAUUCCAUAUUUGUAUAUUCGUUCACCCAUGGUGGCAACCCUGGCUAUUAGAAAUAUAAUUGUAUUUAUUUUGCUGUAUCCUACAAUAAAACAAAAAAAUUAAGAAUUACUAUACCAACAUCAUGAUAAAAAUACACAUACUAAGUAAAUCUGUUAUGUAAACUACAAGUGUGUUUGUAGCAUUUUUGUUUUUACACUAUAGCCUACUAAGUGUGCAAUUAGACUUCUUGCUCACUGGUUUCUGUUUACUUUUAAUUUUAGUAUUUACUCUUGUUUCCCUUCCUUUUUAAUUUUAUUUUUAAA
This 4467-nucleotide long non-coding RNA is filed under the name Homo sapiens (human). Its description in RNAcentral is "HSALNT0313278". The record is from RNAcentral. Lineage: Eukaryota; Metazoa; Chordata; Mammalia; Primates; Hominidae.